This 499-nucleotide ribosomal RNA is filed under the name uncultured bacterium. Its description in RNAcentral is "partial 16S ribosomal RNA". It matches the Rfam family "Bacterial small subunit ribosomal RNA", at positions 28 to 507 of the family's 1533-position model. The record is from RNAcentral.
GACGAACGCUGGCGGCGUGCCUAAUACAUGCAAGUCGAGCGAAGUUUUUCUGGUGCUUGCACCGGAAAAACUUAGCGGCGAACGGGUGAGUAACACGUAAAGAACCUGCCUCAUAGACUGGGACAACUAUUGGAAACGAUAGCUAAUACCGGAUAAUAGCAUUAACUGCAUGGUUGAUGUUUAAAAGUUGGUUUUGCUAACACUAUGAGAUGGCUUUGCGGUGCAUUAGCUAGUUGGUGGGGUAAAGGCCUACCAAGGCGACGAUGCAUAGCCGACCUGAGAGGGUGAUCGGCCACACUGGGACUGAGACACGGCCCAGACUCCUACGGGAGGCAGCAGUAGGGAAUCUUCCGCAAUGGGCGAAAGCCUGACGGAGUAACGCCGCGUGAGUGAAGAAGGAUUUCGGUUCGUAAAGCUCUGUUGUUAGGGAAGAAUGAUUGUGUAGUAACUAUACACAGUAGAGACGGUACCUAACCAGAAAGCCACGGCUAACUACGUG